Molecule: ribosomal RNA, 380 nt
Filed under: Chalcides simonyi
Lineage: Eukaryota; Metazoa; Chordata; Lepidosauria; Squamata; Scincidae
Description: partial 12S ribosomal RNA
Rfam family: Bacterial small subunit ribosomal RNA
Source: RNAcentral
UUAGCCUAACACAGACAAUUACACACAACAUUGUCCGCCAGAGAACUACAAGCGAAAAACUCAAAACUCCAAGGACUUGGCGGUGCUCCACACCAGCCUAGAGGAGCCUGUCCUAUAAUCGAUACCCCACGUUAAACCUUACCACCCCUGGCCUCCAGCCUAUAUACCGCCGUCGCCAGCAUACCUUGUGAAAGAAACAAUAGUAUGCACAACAGUUAUAAACUAACACGUCAGGUCAAGGUGUAGCACAUGGGAUGGAAGAGAUGGGCUACAUUUUCUACUACAGAACAGACGAAAGGAGCAAUGAAACACCCACCUGAAGGCGGAUUUAGCAGUAAGAUAGCCAAGAAAUGCUAUCUUAAAACCGCUCUGGAGCGCGC